Molecule: ribosomal RNA, 110 nt
Filed under: Prevotella vespertina
Lineage: Bacteria; Pseudomonadati; Bacteroidota; Bacteroidia; Bacteroidales; Prevotellaceae
Description: Prevotella sp. A2879 partial 16S ribosomal RNA
Source: RNAcentral
UUUUACAAUGGAGAGUUUGAUCCUGGCUCAGGAUGAACGCUAGCUACAGGCUUAACACAUGCAAGUCGAGGGGAAACGGCAUUUAGUGCUUGCACCGAAUGGACGUCGAC